This 486-nucleotide ribosomal RNA is filed under the name uncultured bacterium. RNAcentral describes it as "bacterial SSU rRNA". It matches the Rfam family "Bacterial small subunit ribosomal RNA", at positions 34 to 507 of the family's 1533-position model. The record is from RNAcentral.
CGCUGGCGGCAUGCCUUACACAUGCAAGGUCGGACGGCAGCAUAGAGGAGCUUGGCUCCUCUGAUGGCGAGUGGCGAACGGGUGAGUAAAGCAUCGGAACGUGCCGUGUAGUGGGGGAUAACGUAGCGAAAGUUACGCUAAUACCGCAUACGCACCGAGGUGGAAAGCAGGGGAUCGCAAGACCUUGCGCUAUACGAGCGGCCGAUGUCAGAUUAGCUAGUUGGUAGGGUAAAGGCCUACCAAGGCGACGAUCUGUAGCGGGUCUGAGAGGAUGAUCCGCCACACUGGGACUGAGACACGGCCCAGACUCCUACGGGAGGCAGCAGUGGGGAAUUUUGGACAAUGGGCGAAAGCCUGAUCCAGCCAUGCCGCGUGCAGGAUGAAGGCCUUCGGGUUGUAAACUGCUUUUGUACGGAACGAAAAGACUCUGGUUAAUACCUGGGGUCCAUGACGGUACCGUAAGAAUAAGCACCGGCUAACUACGUG